RNAcentral lists this ribosomal RNA (865 nucleotides) under uncultured bacterium. RNAcentral describes it as "bacterial SSU rRNA". It matches the Rfam family "Bacterial small subunit ribosomal RNA", at positions 590 to 1449 of the family's 1533-position model. The record is from RNAcentral.
UGCCGUGAANUCCUCUGGCUUAACUGGGGGCGUGCGGUGGGUACGGGCUGACUUGAGUGCGNUAGGGGAGACUGGAACUCCUGGUGUAGCGGUGGAAUGCGCAGAUAUCAGGAAGAACACCGGUGGCGAAGGCGGGUCUCUGGGCCGUUACUGACGCUGAGGAGCGAAAGCGUGGGGAGCGAACAGGAUUAGAUACCCUGGUAGUCCACGCUGUAAACGUUGGGCACUAGGUGUGGGGGCCACCCGUGGUUUCUGCGCCGUAGCUAACGCUUUAAGUGCCCCGCCUGGGGAGUACGGCCGCAAGGCUAAAACUCAAAGGAAUUGACGGGGGCCCGCACAAGCGGCGGAGCAUGCGGAUUAAUUCGAUGCAACGCGAAGAACCUUACCAAGGCUUGACAUGCACGGCGGCACUGCAGAGAUGUGGUGGCAUUUAGUUGGUCGUGUGCAGGUGGUGCAUGGUUGUCGUCAGCUCGUGUCGUGAGAUGUUGGGUUAAGUCCCGCAACGAGCGCAACCCUUGCCCUAUGUUGCCAGCACGUGAUGGUGGGGACUCGUGGGGGACUGCCGGGGUUAACUCGGAGGAAGGUGGGGAUGACGUCAAAUCAUCAUGCCCCUUAUGUCUUGGGCUUCACGCAUGCUACAAUGGUUGGUACAGAGGGUUGCGAUAUCGUGAGGUGGAGCGAAUCCCUUAAAGCCAGUCUCAGUUCGGAUUGGGGUCUGCAACUCGACCCCAUGAAGGUGGAGUCGCUAGUAAUCGCAGAUCAGCAACGCUGCGGUGAAUACGUUCUCGGGCCUUGUACACACCGCCCGUCACGUCACGAAAGUUGGUAACACCCGAAGCCCAUGGCCUAACCGGUUUGCCGGGGG